CUACGGGAUGCUCCAGUGGGGAAUAUUGGACAAUGGGGGCAACCCUGAUCCGGCAAUGCCGCGUGUGUGAAGAAGGCCUGAGGGUUGUAAAGCACUUUUGUAGAGGAGGAUGGUGAGCAAGGUUAAGAGCUAUGUUCAUUGACGUUACUCUAAGAAUAAGCACCGGCUAACUCCGUGCCAGCAGCCGCGGUAAUACGGAGGGUGCAAGCGUUAAUCGGAAUUACUGGGCGUAAAGGGUGCGUAGGCGGUUGAGUAAGUUAUCUGUGAAAUCCCUGGGCUUAACCUAGGUGGGAAAGAUAAGACUGCUCGACUGGAGUGUGGUAGAGGAUAGUGGAAUUUCCGGCGUAGCGGUGAAAUGCGUAGAGAUCGGAAGGAACACCAGUGGCGAAGGCGGCUAUCUGGACCAACACUGACGCUGAGGCACGAAAGCGUGGGGAGCAAACAGGAUUAGAUACCCGGGUAGUC
Molecule: ribosomal RNA, 465 nt
Filed under: uncultured bacterium
Lineage: Bacteria
Description: partial 16S ribosomal RNA
Rfam family: Bacterial small subunit ribosomal RNA
Source: RNAcentral